Long non-coding RNA from Zonotrichia leucophrys gambelii, 782 nucleotides. RefSeq lists it as uncharacterized. The record is from RefSeq and is a predicted model, not a curated record. Lineage: Eukaryota; Metazoa; Chordata; Aves; Passeriformes; Passerellidae. The transcript is spliced from 2 exons.
ACUGGAGUCAGUGGUUGCUGUGAGGACAAGGUGGAGUCAGUGCCUAGAGGAGCUGCCUGCAAGAAACAUCAAAGAGGCGCCCUUGCAGAGAACAACUAGGCGUUCAUUUCUGUUCCCACCUCCUCCUUGCCUCAGCCUCUCAUUUUUCCUUGAAGAAGUGGGCAAAGCUGCAAGGGAAGACACCUUCACUGCCUGUCCUUGUGGGAUCACAGGGCACUGGGGCAGAACCAGAUGAGCUGCCUGAGCAUGGGGAGGAGUAGGACACUGUGCUGUGUAGGAUGAAUUUUGCUGAGGCUUGCAGCCCACUCCAGACUCGUCUGCUCCCAGACCCUGAGGAGAGAUUUAGAUUCUUUUGCUGCUGCCCAUGUGCUUGUGUGCAAUAUCCUACCAUAGAUUUCAUACAUUUUAAAAUGAAUUAGAACCUUAACCUCCUCUUCCUUUAAGAGUUCUCUGUAGUAAUUGUAUCCUUCUGCUAUUAAAGUUCUAAAUAAUGACUGAAAUAGAUGUUUCUUUGAUAAUUUACAGUUUGAAGAGGAUUUUGAAAAGAAAUUAAUCUCUUUACAUGGGAAGACACUAUGUAAUCUUCGAAGACAUUCCAAGUUUCCUCAAUAUUUUACAGUCUUUUUGCUGUUUAUUUUGUAUCUCUUUUCUUGAAAAUGUUUAUUUUGGGUAGGUCAAAACAAAAUUCUCCUUAUGUCUCUCAUCAGCUGUAAGAUGAAUGCACACAGUUGGAACAUGUUCCAUUGAAACUCUCACGCAGAAUAAACAAAGUCCUGACCAAA